RNA transcript from Panicum virgatum (switchgrass), 3300 nucleotides. RefSeq lists it as uncharacterized. NCBI's taxonomy places the organism in Eukaryota, Viridiplantae, Streptophyta, Magnoliopsida, Poales, Poaceae. The record is from RefSeq and is a predicted model, not a curated record. The transcript is spliced from 4 exons.
CCGCGUGCGGCGGGGAGGGGGAGCAACGACCGGCGGCGACUGAGUUACUGGUGAGCAGCAAGCGGUUUCAAUCAUCGAGCUACGACAAUGAAGCCCCGGCCUCUCGUCGUGGCGGCGGGGGAGGGUUUAGUCGGGGCGGGGGGCGCCGGGUGGGCGUGGAGGUCGAGGCCGCGCGCGAGGUUGCCGGGGGUGUCGCCCAAGUGUUCCCACUCGGCGGCGGCGGCAGAGGGCGUGGUGCAGUCGGAGCACCACCGCCGCCGCCGCGGCGGCGUUCGCGGGGUGUUGUUCCGCCCGGCGGGGCUUCCCCGGACGAAAAACGACUGGAAGCUGGAGGAACGGAUCGAGAAGGUCAUCUACGCCUGCCGCUUCAUGACCUUCCUCGGCAUCGGCGGCUUGCUCGCCGGCUCCAUCCCUUGCUUCCUCAAGGGAUGGGUUUAUGUGAUGGAUGCCUUCGUCGAAUACUACCUGCACGGCGGUGGAACUGUCGUCCGAAUGCUGCUUGAAGCCAUUGACUUGUUUCUCAUUGGAACGGUCAUGUUUGUCUUCGGGACGGGCUUGUACGAGCUGUUCAUCAGUAACAUGGACAUGUCUUACGGCUCCAACCUCUUUGGCUUGUUCAAUCUUCCGGAACGACCCAAGUGGCUGGUAAUCAACUCGGUGAAUGAUCUUAAGACAAAGCUGGGUCAUGUCAUUGUCAUGAGUCUACUAGUUGGCAUCUUCGAGAAGAGCAUGAGGGUGACCAUCACAUCAUGUGCUGACCUCUUUUGCUUCGCUGCAUCUAUUUUCAUCUCCUCAGCUUGCCUCUACCUACUUUCCAGGCUUAAUAUAUAGCAUCAAAGGAGGGAGCCAUGCCUGAAAAAAGUGUCUAUGUAUAUAAGCAAUAGGUCUGUUCUGUUACCGCACAACACCUCAGGUUAUGUUUGCACAGUCAAAAAAUUAGGGAGUGGGGAGGGUCCCUGUACUCUUGUAUGGGUCGGCAGUUGCAGUGAGGCACUACCACUCUACACAGUAGGAUAAUGAGAUAGUAUCAUCAUGUAUAUGUAACCUGAUGUAUAUCGUAUAUGCAAUUAAUAACUGAGAUUCUCUGGGACGACUGAUUAAUAGUGUUACCACAAUUUCAUGCAGUUUUGUUUUUUUAGUACGAGUGCUUUUGAAGAGAGUUACCAUAUAUUUCCAUUAGAUAUGAAAAUGCUCCUACCUCAUCCCUCUUUGGUAGGUUGUAAUUUUAGCACAUGCCCCAGUUGAACCUUGUCAAUAUGGCAGUGAUUAUGGUGGUACCUUGUCUGAUGGUAGGACAAGAGGUUUCUUGGGCAGCAACUAGCUUGGAAAUGAACACACAGAAUCUUGUUGUAUAUAAUAACCAUUUUCAUGUAUUAAGUGAUACAUUCAUGCCUUUAUUUACUCAAGACCACAUUAUGGAGCAUAGCUGUGUAGAUGUUCUUACAAUAAAUAAGGUUAAGAAGGAGCCUAGAUUUGUUUAAUAACAGUUUGAGAGAAACUACUACAGCUGAUGCUCCAGUUCUCCAACAUUCUGACCAAGUGUUCACUCAUAUCUACUAUAUAUAUGUGCCAAAUGCUUACUUUUGAGGUAUGUUUCUGAUCUUAAGUACUUAUAUACAACUUUUAUGACCAUUCAAUAAUUUCUAGUUGGAUGCAUCAUUAUGUGCUUGAAGAUUGUUGAUACUUUUUGUCCAAAACGAUUGCGUAUUCAGCACUUACCUUUCCCUCAAAAUGGAAAAUCACUGAGGAACAAGACUGUCGUGGGAGAAUGAUGAAAAAUUUGUGCUCUGUGACAUUUGGUCAAGUUUACGACACUUUUUUCUUGGGGUGAUUGAACUAAAGGACAGGAAUAAACGUAGCUUAGUUGUAUUGUGCCACAAAGGAUGAUGGAACCUCAAAUAAAUUAUGUUGAUAAGUUCCAGCCAACCAAUGGGAGGCAAUGUUGCAAAAGAAAACAAAGACUUCAAAGUGCCUUUUCCAAAUCAAAAUCAAAGUUCCAGGAAUCCUAGAAAAAUUGGAUCCCACAGAGAUGGAAUAAUAUUUGGUGGCGCAUGCCUUACAUAUAAAUUUUCAGCUUUGAACAUUAGCUGUUAUAGACUCUUUUCCAUAUGCAGUGAGGAGCAACAAAAUUAGAAGCUUCAACUUGCUGUUGCUUCCUCCACCAAAUGGUCUGAUAAGUUCUGAUAGGUCGUGGUGCCGUGAAGUUGAUUUGAACAUGAAAAAUAUUGCAAGUUGAUAUUUCAAGUUUGCAACUUGUAUCUUAAUGAGGCUUCCAUGCAAGUUGAUAUUUCAAGUUAACUGAUUAUCAUGGUAAACAGAUUGUCCAAAACUGCGUCUUCAGUCCUAGGUAAUUCUUGGUAACUUAUUUGGAAUUGCUAGUUUGGUUGAUUAACUGAUGUCAGAGAAAACUAUUAAAUGAUCAUGCUUGUGAGAAUAAUGAAUUUACAUGAAAGCAUACCUGUCAGGCUGUCACUGGGUUUACCCAUUCUAGAGGCAUAUUUCCAUGUUUUUAUUUUAUUUAAUUAAUCUUGUUGUACACAAUAUAUAUUCAGGCUGGUGAAUAGAUGUUUCUUAGAAUAAAACUGGAUUAGGCAAAGGUAUUCCCUUUGGCAUAGGACUUGUAAAAAAGAGAGGGAAAGAUACUGAGACAUCCAAAUGCUAAACAAUUGGCUGGCAAUUGAUGCGGUCCCCCCACUACUCAACUCCUUUAAAAGUACACCUUUUGUACUAAAUUAGUGAUACCAUCUGCAUAUAUAAAGAAGGGAGCUGGCUCAAGUGGUUAGCCGUGUUAGCUUUGAGUAACUUGUGUACCGAGUUCUCAUCUCUUCCCACUCCAAACUAGCUACCACGAGCUUUUUCCCUUGUAAACCUCAUGGCCAUUUCACUGAAAAGCAUUGCUCUGUUCAUGUUGCUUCUCAGUACUAUCUUCUUCGUGCAGCUCUCUGCGCCAACUCAUGCAAGGAAGCUGGAAGUGAGGGCACCUAUCAUCAACGUGCGGCCUUCAUGCACUGGAAGGAGUGUUCUGCAGGCGCCUUCUACUCAGACCGAUUCUACCACUCCAGGUCAUAGCCCCAGCAUUGGCCACAACAGUCCUCCGAAUUGAAAUGAUCUGCUCCUUGCUACAUGCCGUCAUCUGUAUCUCAAAUUUGUACCCCGAGUAUUUGAAGCUUAUGUGGUGUGUUUCUAGAGGAUUCUAUGUGUUUGUUGAAAUUUGAAUGGCUUAAGACAGGCGACGGAGGUUAAUUAGCAGAAUUUUUGUUUCUCUCCGUUUAGAUUUAUCACCAGUGAAAUUUGAUGCGU